This 332-nucleotide long non-coding RNA is filed under the name Musa acuminata (dwarf banana). RNAcentral's name for it is "long non-coding RNA (MACU_LNC009842)". Lineage: Eukaryota; Viridiplantae; Streptophyta; Magnoliopsida; Zingiberales; Musaceae. The record is from RNAcentral.
AAGAUGUAUAGCUGCAAUUUUCACCAUAGAUGCAUCCGCGGUUUUAUGGUACCAAAAAUAUCGCUCCGCGCGCGAGAUCCAACCAAUCGGGUCUCCUUCUUCCCAUCUAGGGAAAUCCACUCUCAUGCAUGGAUAGUUGGGGUUGGUCAUAGAGCUUUCCCUCUCUUGGAAGUCAUAUCUUUGGGCUUGGUGCGAUUGGGCAAAGCUCUCUCCUUGAUGUGAUUUCUUCGGGCUUAGUGGUCGGCCCAAUCUGAGUUCGGUAAAGAGCGUCCGAAUCUUAUCCUCCAUUCGUGCCUCGAAGGCUUCAAAUUUAGCAUUGAUUACCUCCUCAG